UCCCUGGUGGUCCAAUGGUUAAGACUCUGCUCUGUCAAUGCAGGGGGCCUGGGUUCAAUCCCUGGCUAGGGAA
Molecule: non-coding RNA, 73 nt
Organism: Aethalodelphis obliquidens (Pacific white-sided dolphin)
Lineage: Eukaryota; Metazoa; Chordata; Mammalia; Artiodactyla; Delphinidae
Source: the annotation of a RefSeq genome assembly